RNAcentral lists this ribosomal RNA (706 nucleotides) under uncultured Bacillus sp. Its description in RNAcentral is "bacterial SSU rRNA". It matches the Rfam family "Bacterial small subunit ribosomal RNA", at positions 56 to 748 of the family's 1533-position model. Lineage: Bacteria; Bacillati; Bacillota; Bacilli; Caryophanales; Bacillaceae. The record is from RNAcentral.
UGCAGUCGAGCGACUUUUAAAGCUUGCUUUUAAAAGUUAGCGGCGGACGGGUGAGUAACACGUGGGCAACCUACCUGUAAGACUGGGAUAACUUCGGGAAACCGGAGCUAAUACCGGAUAAUUCUUUUCUACACAUGUAGAAAAGCUGAAAGACGGUUUCGGCUGUCACUUACAGAUGGGCCCGCGGCGCAUUAGCUAGUUGGUGAGGUAAUGGCUCACCAAGGCAACGAUGCGUAGCCGACCUGAGAGGGUGAUCGGCCACACUGGGACUGAGACACGGCCCAGACUCCUACGGGAGGCAGCAGUAGGGAAUCUUCCGCAAUGGACGAAAGUCUGACGGAGCAACGCCGCGUGAGUGAUGAAGGUUUUCGGAUCGUAAAACUCUGUUGUUAGGGAAGAACAAGUACGAUAGUAACUGAUCGUACCUUGACGGUACCUAACCAGAAAGCCACGGCUAACUACGUGCCAGCAGCCGCGGUAAUACGUAGGUGGCAAGCGUUGUCCGGAAUUAUUGGGCGUAAAGCGCGCGCAGGUGGUUUCUUAAGUCUGAUGUGAAAGCCCACGGCUCAACCGUGGAGGGUCAUUGGAAACUGGGGAACUUGAGUGCAGGAGAGAAGAGUGGAAUUCCACGUGUAGCGGUGAAAUGCGUAGAGAUGUGGAGGAACACCAGUGGCGAAGGCGACUCUUUGGCCUGUAACUGACACUG